This 421-nucleotide ribosomal RNA is filed under the name uncultured bacterium. RNAcentral's name for it is "bacterial SSU rRNA". It matches the Rfam family "Bacterial small subunit ribosomal RNA", at positions 355 to 774 of the family's 1533-position model. The record is from RNAcentral.
UAAGGAAUAUUGGUCAAUGGACGCAAGUCUGAACCAGCCAUGCCGCGUGAAGGAUGAAGGUCCUCUGGAUUGUAAACUUCUUUUAUCUGGGACGAAAACGGGAUUUUUAUCUCAAUUGACGGUACCAGAGGAAUAAGCACCGGCUAACUCCGUGCCAGCAGCCGCGGUAAUACGGAGGGUGCGGGCGUUAUCCGGAUUUACUGGGUUUAAAGGGUGCGUAGGUGGGCUUAUAAGUCAGUGGUGAAAUCUCCGAGCUUAACUUGGAAACUGCCGUUGNUACUAUAGGUCUUGAAUUAUCUGGAGGUAAGCGGAAUAUGUCAUGUAGCGGUGAAAUGCUUAGAUAUGACAUAGAACACCAAUUGCGAAGGCAGCUUACUACAUAUAAAUUGACGCUGAGGCACGAAAGCGUGGGGAUCAAACA